This 326-nucleotide long non-coding RNA is filed under the name Crocodylus porosus (Australian saltwater crocodile). RNAcentral's name for it is "lncRNA (ENSCPRG00005001745.1)". The record is from RNAcentral. Lineage: Eukaryota; Metazoa; Chordata; Crocodylia; Crocodylidae.
AGCAAUUCAGGGAGUGUUUUGGAGAAACCUAUGAAUGUAGCCAGAGACGGAGUAGAGUGGGAACCUGUCAAGUUAAAGCACAUCAAACACAAUCAAGCAACAUUUAUCAGCAGAAAACAGCAUUGCUGAGCUGUCUUGAAAUAAUUCAGAGACUGGAGAGUGUGGCCACUUUUUUCAUUUAAGAAUUCAGAAGAUGGGAUACAAUGUAAUGUGUCAACAAGUGAUCAAGAUGUCACUCUGUAUAAGAAACUGCGCUAGCUGAUUUUGCAAACUACAAUGAACUUGAUUUGUUCCUGAAAAUAAACAGUUUCCUCUUUGCUUUCUCA